RNAcentral lists this ribosomal RNA (1510 nucleotides) under Helicobacter pylori. RNAcentral describes it as "bacterial SSU rRNA". It matches the Rfam family "Bacterial small subunit ribosomal RNA". The record is from RNAcentral. Lineage: Bacteria; Pseudomonadati; Campylobacterota; Epsilonproteobacteria; Campylobacterales; Helicobacteraceae.
UUUUAUGGAGAGUUUGAUCCUGGCUCAGAGUGAACGCUGGCGGCGUGCCUAAUACAUGCAAGUCGAACGAUGAAGCUUCUAGCUUGCUAGAAUGCUGAUUAGUGGCGCACGGGUGAGUAACGCAUAGGUUAUGUGCCUCUUAGUUUGGGAUAGCCAUUGGAAACGAUGAUUAAUACCAGAUACUCCCUACGGGGGAAAGAUUUAUCGCUAAGAGAUCAGCCUAUGUCCUAUCAGCUUGUUGGUAAGGUAAUGGCUUACCAAGGCUAUGACGGGUAUCCGGCCUGAGAGGGUGAACGGACACACUGGAACUGAGACACGGUCCAGACUCCUACGGGAGGCAGCAGUAGGGAAUAUUGCUCAAUGGGGGAAACCCUGAAGCAGCAACGCCGCGUGGAGGAUGAAGGUUUUAGGAUUGUAAACUCCUUUUGUUAGAGAAGAUAAUGACGGUAUCUAACGAAUAAGCACCGGCUAACUCCGUGCCAGCAGCCGCGGUAAUACGGAGGGUGCAAGCGUUACUCGGAAUCACUGGGCGUAAAGAGCGCGUAGGCGGGAUAGUCAGUCAGGUGUGAAAUCCUAUGGCUUAACCAUAGAACUGCAUUUGAAACUACUAUUCUAGAGUGUGGGAGAGGUAGGUGGAAUUCUUGGUGUAGGGGUAAAAUCCGUAGAGAUCAAGAGGAAUACUCAUUGCGAAGGCGACCUGCUGGAACAUUACUGACGCUGAUUGCGCGAAAGCGUGGGGAGCAAACAGGAUUAGAUACCCUGGUAGUCCACGCCCUAAACGAUGGAUGCUAGUUGUUGGAGGGCUUAGUCUCUCCAGUAAUGCAGCUAACGCAUUAAGCAUCCCGCCUGGGGAGUACGGUCGCAAGAUUAAAACUCAAAGGAAUAGACGGGGACCCGCACAAGCGGUGGAGCAUGUGGUUUAAUUCGAAGAUACACGAAGAACCUUACCUAGGCUUGACAUUGAGAGAAUCCGCUAGAAAUAGUGGAGUGUCUGGCUUGCUAGACCUUGAAAACAGGUGCUGCACGGCUGUCGUCAGCUCGUGUCGUGAGAUGUUGGGUUAAGUCCCGCAACGAGCGCAACCCCCUUUCUUAGUUGCUAACAGGUCAUGCUGAGAACUCUAAGGAUACUGCCUCCGUAAGGAGGAGGAAGGUGGGGACGACGUCAAGUCAUCAUGGCCCUUACGCCUAGGGCUACACACGUGCUACAAUGGGGUGCACAAAGAGAAGCAAUACUGCGAAGUGGAGCCAAUCUUCAAAACGCCUCUCAGUUCGGAUUGUAGGCUGCAACUCGCCUGCAUGAAGCUGGAAUCGCUAGUAAUCGCAAAUCAGCCAUGUUGCGGUGAAUACGUUCCCGGGUCUUGUACUCACCGCCCGUCACACCAUGGGAGUUGUGUUUGCCUUAAGUCAGGAUGCUAAAUUAGCUACUGCCCACGGCACACACAGCGACUGGGGUGAAGUCGUAACAAGGUAACCGUAGGUGAACCUGCGGUUGGAUCACCUCCUUUCUAGA